Molecule: unclassified non-coding RNA, 195 nt
Filed under: uncultured fungus
Lineage: Eukaryota; Fungi
Description: sequence contains ITS1
Source: RNAcentral
UUAACUAUUGUAUAUAGCUCAGACGAAAAUAAAAUUCAAGAGUUUUGGGUCCUCUGGCGAGCACUCACCAGCGCAAAGCCGGUGGCUGAGGCGGCUCGCCAAAGCAACAAAGGUAUUAAAUAACAUAGGGUUGGAGAGUCACCCGUGGGGGCAAUAUUCUCUGUAAUGAUCCUUCCGCAGGUUCACCUACGGAAA